This 355-nucleotide ribosomal RNA is filed under the name uncultured Coriobacteriales bacterium. RNAcentral describes it as "partial 16S ribosomal RNA". Lineage: Bacteria; Bacillati; Actinomycetota; Coriobacteriia; Coriobacteriales. The record is from RNAcentral.
GGAGUUUGGACCGUCUCUCAGUUCCAAUGUGGCCGAUCACCCUCUCAGGUCGGCUACCGAUCGUCGACUUGGUGGGCCGUUACCUCACCAACUAUCUAAUCGGACGCGAGCCCACCCCAUACCGGAUUGCUCCUUUGACCCCUAUGCCAUGUGACAUCGUGGUCUCAUGCGGUAUUAGCACCUGUUUCCAAGUGUUAUCCCCCUGUAUGGGACAGGUUGCUCACGCGUUACUCACCCGUCCGCCACUAAGAUACAACUGAAUCCUGCCGAAGCUCUCAUCUGUUGUAUCCCCGUUCGACUUGCAUGUGUUAAGCACGCCGCCAGCGUUCGUCCUGAGCCACGGAGUCAAACUACU